CCUGGCUCAGGAUGAACGCUAGCUACAGGCUUAACACAUGCAAGUCGAGGGGCAGCAUGGUCUUAGCUUGCUAAGGCCGAUGGCGACCGGCGCACGGGUGAGUAACACGUAUCCAACCUGCCGUCUACUCUUGGACAGCCUUCUGAAAGGAAGAUUAAUACAAGAUGGCAUCAUGAGUCCGCAUGUUCACAUGAUUAAAGGUAUUCCGGUAGACGAUGGGGAUGCGUUCCAUUAGAUAGUAGGCGGGGUAACGGCCCACCUAGUCUUCGAUGGAUAGGGGUUCUGAGAGGAAGGUCCCCCACAUUGGAACUGAGACACGGUCCAAACUCCUACGGGAGGCAGCAGUGAGGAAUAUUGGUCAAUGGGCGAGAGCCUGAACCAGCCAAGUAGCGUGAAGGAUGACUGCCCUAUGGGUUGUAAACUUCUUUUAUAAAGGAAUAAAGUCGGGUAUGGAUACCCGUUUGCAUGUACUUUAUGAAUAAGGAUCGGCUAACUCCGUGCCAGCAGCCGCGGUAAUACGGAGGAUCCGAGCGUUAUCCGGAUUUAUUGGGUUUAAAGGGAGCGUAGAUGGAUGUUUAAGUCAGUUGUGAAAGUUUGCGGCUCAACCGUAAAAUUGCAGUUGAUACUGGAUAUCUUGAGUGCAGUUGAGGCAGGCGGAAUUCGUGGUGUAGCGGUGAAAUGCUUAGAUAUCACGAAGAACUCCGAUUGCGAAGGCAGCCUGCUAAGCUGCAACUGACAUUGAGGCUCGAAAGUGUGGGUAUCAAACAGGAUUAGAUACCCUGGUAGUCCACACGGUAAACGAUGAAUACUCGCUGUUUGCGAUAUACUGCAAGCGGCCAAGCGAAAGCGUUAAGUAUUCCACCUGGGGAGUACGCCGGCAACGGUGAAACUCAAAGGAAUUGACGGGGGCCCGCACAAGCGGAGGAACAUGUGGUUUAAUUCGAUGAUACGCGAGGAACCUUACCCGGGCUUAAAUUGCAGAUGAAUUACGGUGAAAGCCGUAAGCCGCAAGGCAUCUGUGAAGGUGCUGCAUGGUUGUCGUCAGCUCGUGCCAUGAGGUGUCGGCUUAAGUGCCAUAACGAGCGCAACCCUUGUUGUCAGUUACUAACAGGUUCCGCUGAGGACUCUGACAAGACUGCCAUCGUAAGAUGUGAGGAAGGUGGGGAUGACGUCAAAUCAGCACGGCCCUUACGUCCGGGGCUACACACGUGUUACAAUGGGGGGUACAGAGGGCCGCUACCACGCGAGUGGAUGCCAAUCCCCAAAACCUCUCUCAGUUCGGACUGGAGUCUGCAACCCGACUCCACGAAGCUGGAUUCGCUAGUAAUCGCGCAUCAGCCACGGCGCGGUGAAUACGUUCCCGGGCCUUGUACACACCGCCC
RNAcentral lists this ribosomal RNA (1382 nucleotides) under uncultured bacterium. Its description in RNAcentral is "bacterial SSU rRNA". It matches the Rfam family "Bacterial small subunit ribosomal RNA", at positions 18 to 1395 of the family's 1533-position model. The record is from RNAcentral.